This 497-nucleotide ribosomal RNA is filed under the name uncultured bacterium. RNAcentral describes it as "partial 16S ribosomal RNA". It matches the Rfam family "Bacterial small subunit ribosomal RNA", at positions 28 to 507 of the family's 1533-position model. The record is from RNAcentral.
GAUGAACGCUGGCGGCGUGCCUAAUACAUGCAAGUAGAACGCUGAAGGAAGGAGCUUGCUCUUUCCGGAUGAGUUGCGAACGGGUGAGUAACGCGUAGGUAACCUGCCUGGUAGCGGGGGAUAACUAUUGGAAACGAUAGCUGAUACCGCAUAACAGUAGAUGUUGCAUGAUAUCUACUUAAAAGGUGCAAUUGCACCACUACCAGCUGGACCUGCGUUGUAUUAGCUAGUUGGUGAGGUAACGGCUCACCAAGGCGACGAUACAUAGCCGACCUGAGAGGGUGAUCGGCCACACUGGGACUGAGACACGGCCCAGACUCCUACGGGAGGCAGCAGUAGGGAAUCUUCGGCAAUGGACGGAAGUCUGACCGAGCAACGCCGCGGGAGUGAAGAAGGGUGUCGGAUCGUAAAGCUCUGUUGUAAGAGAAGAACGAGUGUGAGAGUGGAAAGUUCACACUGUGACGGUAGCUUACCAGAAAGGGACGGCUAACUACGUG